GCCAAGAACAAUAUGAUUGAGCAAAAUACUGAAAUCCCCACGCGAAUCCGGGUGCUUUGAUUGCUCAUUCAAUACAUACCUCGUUAUGGUCAUCAAAUCAGUCCGGUGGGCAUCUGCUGCGUAAUCCAUCUCUCCCUGUCCCUCGGUGUGUGUCUCUCUCUUUCACCCCACAAAACAACUAUACAAGAAUACCAUCAAAAAUUUAAGCUUUACGAAAUGUGAUUAUCAGAGCAUAAACAUGAGCUAUAAAGGUUCGCAGAGGUAAGCAAAUUGCUGAGUUCGAGGAGUGAGUGCUG
Molecule: unclassified non-coding RNA, 296 nt
Filed under: Hevea brasiliensis (rubber tree)
Lineage: Eukaryota; Viridiplantae; Streptophyta; Magnoliopsida; Malpighiales; Euphorbiaceae
Source: RNAcentral